UAGGGAAUCUUCGGCAAUGGGGGGAACCCUGACCGAGCAACGCCGCGUGAGUGAAGAAGGUUUUCGGAUCGUAAAGCUCUGUUGUUAAGGAAGAACGAGUGUGAGAAUGGAAAGUUCAUACUGUGACGGUACUUAACCAGAAAGGGACGGCUAACUACGUGCCAGCAGCCGCGGUAAUACGUAGGUGGCAAGCGUUGUCCGGAUUUAUUGGGCGUAAAGCGAGCGCAGGCGGUCAAUUAAGUCUGAUGUGAAAGCCCCCGGCUCAACCGGGGAGGGUCAUUGGAAACUGUUUAACUUGAGUGCAGAAGGGGAGAGUGGAAUUCCAUGUGUAGCGGUGAAAUGCGUAGAUAUAUGGAGGAACACCGGUGGCGAAAGCGGCUCUCUGGUCUGUAACUGACGCUGAGGCUCGAAAGCGUGGGGUGCGAACAGG
This 430-nucleotide ribosomal RNA is filed under the name Bacteroidota bacterium. RNAcentral's name for it is "Bacteroidetes bacterium partial 16S ribosomal RNA". It matches the Rfam family "Bacterial small subunit ribosomal RNA", at positions 355 to 776 of the family's 1533-position model. The record is from RNAcentral. Lineage: Bacteria; Pseudomonadati; Bacteroidota.